GGGGGAGACUUCUUCACCCACUUGGAGGCCAAAGGCCACACGAUGGAGGGGGAGGCCCAAGGCCCAUUCCAAAAGCUGUUCUCGUCUCUGCAUCACUGCCACCAGCUGGGUGUGGUGCACCGGGACUUGAAGCUGGACAACCUCCUCCUCGAUGCCAACAACACCGCCAAGAUCUCCGACUUCACACUUAGCAACCAGUGGCACCCAGGAAAGAAGCCAAACACUUUCUGUGGCAGUCCUGCGUUCGUGGCCCCAGGACUCUUCCUGGGGAGCCCUUACACAGGCCCAGAGGAGGAUGUGUGAAGCCUCGGUGGCGUCCAGUACACCGAGGUAACUGGAUCACUCCCCUUCAGGGGAUAAGAUUUCUGGGAGCUGUGGCAGCGUGUGCUUAGGGGGCAGCAACAUGUGCCCAAAUAACUAUUCAAUGAGAUAACAGACUUACUAGGAAGAAUGUUAAUGUUCAACCUACCAACAGAGGUACUUUAGAUGAUGUUUGGCAGCAUCCAUGGGUGAACAUGGGCCAGGACUCACUCCCACCAGCCCGUGAAGAGCACCCUGGGGUGACAGUGGAGAUGAUACUGGGCUGAUGCAGAGACCAAAUCCAGGGCUUAGACAUAAGCAGUGGCAGUAACAUGAAUGAACCCAAGUUGAGGGUCCGCACGAUCAUUGUGAGGCCAGCCGUUUCCUCUGACCUCAGCAGCCAAGAACAUAUGCCUCCCACCAGCCCUGAGAUUUCCAUGUUUAUUCCCACCUGGCUUUGGGAGACCAUUCAGCAGCAGGAGAACCAGGAGUCAAGGGAGAAGACCAGAGAGCCUGCCACUCCCCAACCCUGCCCAGAAGCAAGGACCGUCACCCCCCCGCCCAGCCCCCACCACUUGCAACACCCGUGAUGACAGCAGCGCCCUAGCCACCGAUCACGCUGGUGACCUCCACGAUACAUGCGGGACCAGGCUCACCUGCGACAUCUGCGGCAGGCGUGACAGCAGCCACACCCGUGACACCAGCGUUACCCGUGGCACCAGAGACACCCGCGACACCAUCAGCACCUGCGACACCUGUCAUACCAGAGGUACCAGCCUCACCUGUGACACCUGCAGCUGCCAUGACACUAGCCACACCUGUGAUCCCAGCCUCACCUAUGACGCCCUAAGCACCCAGGACACCACUGGGGCCUGCAACGUAUAUGAUACCCGUGGCACCAUUGAUACCCACAUUACCAGUGACACCUGCCUCACCAGGGACACCAGAGGCACCCGUGACACCAGAGGCACCCGUGACACCAGAGGCACCCGUGACACCAGUGGUGACCACGCCACCCAUGAUACUUAUGCCACUGUCACCCGUGACACCAGCCACACCUGUGAUCCCAGCCUCACCUAUGACGCCCUAAGCACCCAGGACACCACUGGGGCCUGCAACGUAUAUGAUACCCGUGGCACCAUUGAUACCCACAUUACCAGUGACACCUGCCUCACCAGGGACACCAGAGGCACCCGUGACACCAGAGGCACCCGUGACACCAGAGGCACCCGUGACACCAGUGGUGACCACGCCACCCAUGAUACUUAUGCCACUGUCACCCGUGACACCAGGGUCACCCACGACACAGAUGGCACUCAUGGCACCUGUGACACCUCCAACACCAAUGGCACCCAUGACAUCGGCGGUAAAGUCCCAGAAGGAAUCCAC
This 1689-nucleotide long non-coding RNA is filed under the name Bos indicus x Bos taurus (hybrid cattle). RNAcentral's name for it is "lncRNA (ENSBIXG00005002409.1)". Lineage: Eukaryota; Metazoa; Chordata; Mammalia; Artiodactyla; Bovidae. The record is from RNAcentral.